GGUUCAUAAACCCUAGCAUUGAAAACCUAACUCAUCAAUUUCAUACAUUUAACCAUUUCAAUGCCUUUAACUAUCAUCAAUUAACUCAUUAAGGUUCAUAUUCCUAUCCAAGUCAAUCAAGCCAUGCCAUUGAUGUCCCCUCUUCAACAGACCGAAAUUUCACUUUGGUCCUCUACACAUGUUUUUAUUUCAUUUCCUUAAUUUCCAAGUUCAUUUAAGUAACAAACAUGCACAAAAAAAAUAGGAAUUGAAGGUUAGAAUACCCACCUUUGGUGAAGCCUUUGAUCUUCACUUUUUGUUCCACUUCACACUUUUUUUUUUCUUUCCUCUAUUCUUCCUU
RNAcentral lists this unclassified non-coding RNA (340 nucleotides) under Hevea brasiliensis (rubber tree). The record is from RNAcentral. Lineage: Eukaryota; Viridiplantae; Streptophyta; Magnoliopsida; Malpighiales; Euphorbiaceae.